RNAcentral lists this ribosomal RNA (719 nucleotides) under uncultured eukaryote. RNAcentral's name for it is "SSU rRNA". It matches the Rfam family "Eukaryotic small subunit ribosomal RNA", at positions 572 to 1296 of the family's 1831-position model. The record is from RNAcentral.
AGCCGCGGUAAUUCCAGCUCCAAUAGCGUAUAUUAAAGUUGUUGCAGUUAAAACGCUCGUAGUCGGAUUUCGGGGCGGGGCCGCCGGUCUGCCGAUGGGUAUGCACUGGCGGUCGCGUCCUUCCUUCCGGAGACUGGCCCUACUCUUAACUGAGCGGGGUCGGGAGUCGGAUCGUUUACUUUGAAAAAGUCAGAGUGUUUCAAGCAGGCAGCUCGCUCUUGCAUGGAUUAGCAUGGGAUAAUGAAAUAGGACUUUGGUGCUAUUUUGUUGGUUUCGAACACCGAAGUAAUGAUUAACAGGGACAGUCAGGGGCACUCGUAUUCCGCCGAGAGAGGUGAAAUUCUCAGACCAGCGGAAGACGAACCACUGCGAAAGCAUUUGCCAGGGAUGUUUUCACUGAUCAAGAACGAAAGUUAGGGGAUCGAAGACGAUCAGAUACCGUCGUAGUCUUAACCAUAAACCAUGCCGACUAGGGAUGGGUGGAUGUCCUUCUUUGACUCCAUCCGCACCUUAAGGGAAACUAUAGUCUUUGGGUUCCGGGGGGAGUAUGGUCGCAAGGCUGAAACUUAAAGGAAUUGACGGAAGGGCACCACCAGGAGUGGAGCCUGCGGCUUAAUUUGACUCAACACGGGGAAACUUACCAGGUCCAGACAUUGUGAGGAUUGACAGAUUGAGAGCUCUUUCUUGAUUCGAUGGGUGGUGGUGCAUGGCCGUUCUUA